This 745-nucleotide ribosomal RNA is filed under the name Bacillus sp. UFRGS-B20. RNAcentral's name for it is "bacterial SSU rRNA". It matches the Rfam family "Bacterial small subunit ribosomal RNA", at positions 775 to 1533 of the family's 1533-position model. The record is from RNAcentral. Lineage: Bacteria; Bacillati; Bacillota; Bacilli; Caryophanales; Bacillaceae.
GGAUUAGAUACCCUUGGUAGUCCACGACCUUAAAACGAUGGUGCUAAGUGUUAGAGGGUUUCGCCCUAUAGUGCUGAAGUAAACGCAGUUUAAGCACUCCGCCUGGGAGUACGGCCGCAAAGGCUGAAAGCAAAGGAAUUGACGGGGCCCGCACAAGCGGUGGAGCAUGUGGUUUAAUUCGAAGCAACGCGAGACCUUACCAGUCUGACUUUCUGAAAACCCUAGGAGAUAGGGCUUUCCUUCGGGAGCAGAGUGACAGGUGUGCAUGGUUGUCGCGUCAGUCGUGUCGUGAGAUGUUGGGUUAAGUCCGCAACGAGCGCAACCUUGAUCUUAGUUGCCAUCCAUUAAGUUUGGCAACUCUAAGGUGAUGCCGGUGACAAACCGAGGAAGUGGGAUGACGUUCAAUUCAUCAUGCCCCUUGGACCUGGCACACACGGCUACAAUGGACGGACAAAGGCUCAAUACCGCGAGGUGGAGCUAAUCUCAUACAAACCGGUCUCAGUUCGGAUUGAUAGCUGCAACGCGCCUACAUGAAGCGGGAUCGCUAGUAAUCGCGGAUCAGCAUGCCGCGUGUGAUACGUUCCCGGGCCUUUACACCACCGCCCGUCCACACCACGAGAGUUGUAACACCCGAAGUCGUGGGGUAACCCUUUUUGGAGCAGCCCUAGGUGGGACAGGAUGAUUGGGGUGAAGUCGUAACAAGGUAGCCGCAUAUCGGAAGGUGCGCUGGAUCACCCUCCUUUCU